This 491-nucleotide ribosomal RNA is filed under the name uncultured bacterium. RNAcentral describes it as "partial 16S ribosomal RNA". It matches the Rfam family "Bacterial small subunit ribosomal RNA", at positions 29 to 506 of the family's 1533-position model. The record is from RNAcentral.
AGUGAACGCUGGCGGUAGGCCUAACACAUGCAAGUCGAACGGCAGCACAGUAAGAGCUUGCUCUUACGGGUGGCGAGUGGCGGACGGGUGGGGAAUACAUCGGAAUCUACUUUUUCGUGGGGGAUAACGUAGGGAAACUUACGCUAAUACCGCAUACGACCUACGGGUGAAAGCAGGGGAUCUUCGGACCUUGCGCGAUUGAAUGAGCCGAUGUCGGAUUAGCUAGUUGGCGGGGUAAAGGCCCACCAAGGCGACGAUCCGUAGCUGGUCUGAGAGGAUGAUCAGCCACACUGGAACUGAGACACGGUCCAGACUACUACGGGAGGCAGCAGUGGGGAAUAUUGGACAAUGGGCGCAAGCCUGAUCCAGCCAUACCGCGUGGGUGAAGAAGGCCUUCGGGUUGUAAAGCCCUUUUGUUGGGAAAGAAAAGCAGCAGGUUAAUACCCCGCUGUUCUGACGGUACCCAAAGAAUAAGCACCGGCUAACUUCGU